Molecule: ribosomal RNA, 640 nt
Filed under: uncultured bacterium
Lineage: Bacteria
Description: bacterial SSU rRNA
Rfam family: Bacterial small subunit ribosomal RNA (bases 1-537)
Source: RNAcentral
CCUACGGGAGGCAGCAGUAAGGAAUAUUGGACAAUGCUCGCAAGAGUGAUCCAGCCAUGCCGCGUGCAGGAAGAAUGCCCUAUGGGUAGUAAACUGCUUUUGAACUAGAGAAAACCCCAGUACGUGUACUGGGCUGAUAGUAUAGUUAGAAUAAGCAUCGGCUAACUUCGUGCCAGCAGCCGCGGUAAGACGAAGGAUGCAAGCGUUAUCCGGAUUCAUUGGGUUUAAAGGGAGCGUAGGUGGACUGAUAAGUCAGUGGUGAAAUCUCCGAGCUUAACUCGGAAAUUGCCAUUGAUACUGUUGGUCUUGAGUACAGUUGCUGUGGGCGGAAUAUGACAUGUAGUGGUGAAAUACAUAGAGAUGUCAUAGAACACCGAUUGCGAAGGCAGCUCACAAAGCUGUAACUGACACUGAGGCUCGAAAGUGCGGGGAUCAAACAGGAUUAGAUACCCUGGUAGUCCGCACCGUAAACGAUANAUACUCNCUGCGUAGGGCGACCGUUACGUGUGUAGACGAAGACGAAGUAAGUAAGUUACGACCGUCGGGUUAGGUUACGGCCGGCCGACGGUUACGGAACGUUACGAAGAGAGUUAGACGGACGUUGAGACGNGCGACGGACGACGACGAGGGAGGUAGGUAG